This 5100-nucleotide unclassified non-coding RNA is filed under the name Lytechinus variegatus (green sea urchin). RNAcentral describes it as "uncharacterized LOC121418396, transcript variant X2". Lineage: Eukaryota; Metazoa; Echinodermata; Echinoidea; Temnopleuroida; Toxopneustidae. The record is from RNAcentral.
CACUGCAGCAGUGUGCAGUGAGUUCUAUGCAAUUUUAAUGCUGUAAAUAUUUUUGAUAUAUAUGUUUAAAUUCAUAUUCCACUAGAUUUCUCAUUUUGCACUCUGGCAUUUUCUUAAUCUCUUUCUACAUGAAAUCCCAUAGGGUAGGUUAUGUACUAAAGUAUAGGUACAGAAAGCUAAUUCAAUAGAGCAAACCUUACGUCCACCCUUUAUUGUUAUAAUUUGUAUAGGAAUGGUCAAGUUCAUUGUUUUGUUCUGUGUAGAGCGCUGGGUAGUACCAGCUUCCUUGUAACUUUUAAUUAGACUGUCUAAUAAGCAGUCUGGCUUGACCAUAAGUUCAGAACCUUUAAAUAGAGAUGCAAAAAGCCAAGAAACUUCAGUUCAUAGUAAAGACACAGAAGAGAGAACUCCAGUUAACGUCAAGAUAUUUCUCGUAUUGAUUGCAACCAAGUGUACUUGUCUUAUAGCCUCCAAUUGUAUUUUAUCUCGGAUUUUGGACCGUGGGAUGACGGAAUAAAGUUCCACAUAAGCCACACUAAAGUCUGUGAAUACAUUUCUUUUGGAGUGAGAGUAUUUGUUAGCCGAAACUCCGUCCGUUUAUCGAGGAUAAAGGGCGGCAGCCACAAUAAAAUACAACUGCUGUAGACAUUUACGCUUCGUAAGGCAUGAGUGAGCGAGAAACAUCGGUGAGGAUGACGUCACUGAAAGGAGCAACCAGGGAUGAGGACCUGCAUAGCCAAGUAAGUGGUAGCAGUAGCAGGAGGAGCAGACUGAGCAGGAGAUCGAGUAGAUCAUCAAAAAGUGAACUUUCUGCCCGUAAAGCCUCACUGGAAGCUAAGAAGGAAAAUGAAAGUAAAAUGCUAAUGUUGCUAAAAGAGGACAAAGAAGCUAAACAAGCCUUUCAUCAAAAUAGGAAGGCUGUUCUUGAACAAAAAAUGAAGACUCUUGAGCUUGAACAGGAAGACAUGGAAAAUGCCUAUCUUAGUGAGCAGAAAGUGAUUGCUGCUCAAAAGUCUAUAGUAGCUGCAGACAUAGAAAUCUCAGAACUGGCUAUGUUGGAAGAAUGCUGCGAAGAUGAUAGUGGAACUGAUGAUGAGGUUUCUAUUAAAGGACUGACACGGGAGAAAAAGAGCGAAAGGAUGGAGCGAUUCUUCGGCUCACAGGAGGAAGUCACAGUGAAAAAUAUUAAGCCCGAGCCUCCCGUGGUCAAUACUCCACCAGUUAGUAGCCCAGCACUGCAAGCCGGACGGGAUAAAGCCGCAUCAUCACUAGAAGAUUGCCUGCAACAGCUGGCUCGUUUUGUUGCAGGACAAAACGCAGCUAGUAACCAACUAGCCGUAUUCAGCCAACUCCCUAAGAUCGACGUACCAAUCUUCUCUGGUGAUCCUCUGCAGUACACGCUAUGGAAAAAUGCCUUUGACUGUACAGUGGAUUCAAAGCCAAUUGGCGAGCAGUACAAAUUGAAUUACUUGAAUGCAUAUGUCAGUGGCAAGGCUAAGGAGAUAGUAGAGCAUCAUCUUUUGAUAGGAGGGAGUAAUGCAUACCAAGAGGCUUUGAAGCAGCUAGAAGACAGAUUUGGUGACCCCAAUACGAUAAGCGUCUCGUACACCAAGAAACUGACUUCUUGGCCGAAGAUAUCAAGCCACGAUGCCAGUGGACUGAGGGACUUCGCAGAUUUUCUUCAGAAAGUUGUGGCAGCCAAGAGGAGAGUCCGCAACUUGGGAAUUCUGGAUUACCCUCAAGAAAAUGUAAAGCUUGUGGAGAAGUUACCAGGCUAUUUGGAAGGAAAGUGGCGUGAUGAAAUCGACAGAUGGCGUUCUCAUAAAGGCCCACAAAGCUUCCCUUCUUUCACAGAAUUUGCCGAGUUUGUUAUGAGAGCUGCAAGCAAGGCAAACAUCCCUGAGAUGGAGCCAUUGUCUAAGGAACCAAAGCGGAGUUUCCAAACAAAUCAAAGGAGUAUGAAAGCAAGGACCUUUGUAACAAACGGACAAGAUAAUGAACCAAGCAAGCUGUCCAAGGUAUCGCAUAGGCAUGGCCUUUUCUCAAUGUGCCCCUUUUGCGAGAGAGAUCAUCACAUUGAAGAUUGUGAUGAUUUCGCACAAAACUCUAUACAUGUGAAAAAGGCUUUCUUCAGGAAGAAAAUGAUAUGUCUUGGGUGUGGAGGAACAGACGAUCACUUUGUCAGAAAUUGUCAGGAGAGAAAGUCAUGCAAAUUAUGUGGGAAAAUGCAUCUCACCUGCCUCCACUACGACCAAAACAAACCAGACACAGCUGAACUGCAGGAAGGAACAUCGCAUUGCACAUCUGUAUGUCCGACGCCUGACCAGGAAGGGAGGGAUCACAGUAUGAUCGUUCCUGUUUGGGUAAGGCAUGUGGAUCGACCAUCAGAGGAGACACUAGAAUAUGCCAUUCUUGAUGACCAGUCAAACGUGAGUUUUGUCUCCAAACGCCUCUGCAAGAAGCUAGAUGUUAAAGGAGAGAAAACGAAUCUUCUCCUUACAACAAUGCACCAGACAGGGAAGAUAGAAAGUGAGAGGAUUAAAGGUCUUGAGGUACUGGACUUCAACAAGGAGAAUGUAAUCCAGCUUCCAACCACUUUGUCCAGGGAUUCGUUACCUGCAUCUCGCUCCCAGAUCCCUAAGCCAGAGGUAGUCAAGCAGUGGGACCAUCUAAACAGCGUAGCAAGUAAAAUGAUGCCAUACAGGAAAGAUGUAGAAGUAUCGUUACUUAUCGGUAAUGAUUGUACAAGAGCAGUUAGACCACGUGAAAUCAUAAGUGGAAAUGAAGAUGACCCAUAUGCCCAGAGAUCAUUGCUUGGAUGGGGAGUAGUUGGGAGAGUGCAUAAAACUCCUGGAGAACUCAAGUCUGCAACUUGUAACAAACUCUCAGUCAACUCAUGCCCCAACUCUAGUUUCCAGACCAAGGUUAAGACAAAUAUCGGCCCUGAAAAGAUCAUUCAAGCAUUGGAAGCCGACUUCAAAGAGAAGGAAGGUCGUCCAUCACUAUCGGUACACGAUGUGAGGUCUCCUGAUAUCUUGGAGAAGGGAAUAACAAGGAGUCAAGCUGGGAAUUACGAAAUGCCUGUACCUAGCUUCAAGUCAGAUCAAGUCCAAGUGCCUGAUAAUCGUCCUCUUGCUGUUAAGAGAUGGAAUCAACUGAAUAUUCCCCAUCUUUCUCACAUAGGGGGAGCAUGGGAAAGACAAAUUGCUACUGUUAACGUUCGUCGUGCUCUAGAGCCCCUUCUGAGCAGCUCAGGAAACCAGCUUGACGACGAAUCUUUCAGAACAUUCUUAAAAGAGGUUGAAUCAGUAGUCAACUCUAGACCUCUUUCGACGACACACCUUUGUUCUCCAGAUGCUCCUGAGCCUCUAACACCAAACCAUCUGUUGACUUUGAAACCUAGAAUCGUGCUACCUCCUCCUGAGAAGUUCCAAACGGCAGAUUCCUAUUGUCGCAAAUGGUGGAGACAAGUUCAGCAUCUCUCCAAUGAAUUCUGGCUGAGAUGGAGUAAAGAAUUCUUGGCUGAACUCCAAACCAGACAGAAGUGGGUUACACCAAAGCAAAGCGUCAGGGCAGGAGAUGUGGUCAUCGUCAAAGAAGAAGGAGAAUUUCGAGGUAAUUGGCCCCUUGGUCGAGUAGAGAAAGUCCUUCCUAGCAAAGAUGGUCACGUACGCAAAGUCCAACUGAUGAUGGCAAACAAGUGUUUAGACGAAGAUGGACGAAGGAAAGGUCAGCCAACUAUCCUUGAAAGACCGAUACAUAAGCUGGUGGUGCUAAUUCCUACUGAAGAAACAUCACAAGGAAGGAUGCAAUCGGAAGACCAGAGGAUUCCCGAUCAAGGAGCCAGCCAAGAAGAAAAUAAGAAGUGAUGUCUUAUUGUAAAUGUUUAAUUUCUCUUUCUCUGAAUCUGUCAAACUCUUUCCCUAGUAUCCUCAUUCUCUCUUCUUCUCCCUCAGCCUUUUCACUCUCUCUCUUUCUCUCUAUCAGCAUUCUCUUUCCUAUAUUUUUCUUGCAAUCAUUAUGUAUAGAGUGAUUUUUGGAAUUUUUAAAUUACUUGAGGUGUAAUUUGUAACAGUAAGAUCACUGAGUAAUAUUGAUUUAGAUUGAAAUCCAUUUCAUUACAUUGGUAUCAUUAACAUAUUUUUCUAUGGUCAAUGUAUUUGAUGUGCUUGACAUAAUAUAUAUGUACUAAGUAGUACAUUUCGACACUUGAAUCUAGUAUUGUUAUGCUAAGAUGAUCACAUAAUCAGGUGAUUGAGCUAUUUACAUUUGUUUUAGUUUUACAGAUAAAUUACACAAUGGGAUCGGAAUAUCAUGAUUCCUAUUUUGGGUUGUUGUUCUUACAUUACUGUUUAUACUGUAGCGAGUAUUUAAAUAUUUGAGUCUAUAAUAAUUUGAAGUAUUAGUAUUCUGAAUCAAUUCCUUUUGUACUAUUUUGGUAACUGAUAGCAGGAUCAGUUAAAGGAGCCAUGUCACUGCAGCAGUGUGCAGUGAGUUCUAUGCAAUUUUAAUGCUGUAAAUAUUUUUGAUAUAUAUGUUUAAAUUCAUAUUCCACUAGAUUUCUCAUUUUGCACUCUGGCAUUUUCUUAAUCUCUUUCUACAUGAAAUCCCAUAGGGUAGGUUAUGUACUAAAGUAUAGGUACAGAAAGCUAAUUCAAUAGAGCAAACCUUACGUCCACCCUUUAUUGUUAUAAUUUGUAUAGGAAUGGUCAAGUUCAUUGUUUUGUUCUGUGUAGAGCGCUGGGUAGUACCAGCUUCCUUGUAACUUUUAAUUAGACUGUCUAAUAAGCAGUCUGGCUUGACCAUAAGUUCAGAACCUUUAAAUAGAGAUGCAAAAAGCCAAGAAACUUCAGUUCAUAGUAAAGACACAGAAGAGAGAACUCCAGUUAACGUCAAGAUAUUUCUCGUAUUGAUUGCAACCAAGUGUACUUGUCUUAUAGCCUCCAAUUGUAUUUUAUCUCGGAUUUUGGACCGUGGGAUGACGGAAUAAAGUUCCACAUAAGCCACACUAAAGUCUGUGAAUACAUUUCUUUUGGAGUGAGAGUAUUUGUUAGCCGAAACUCCGUCCGUUUAUCGAGGAUAAAGGGCGGCAGCCACAAU